AUGAACGCUGGCGGCGUGCCUAAUACAUGCACGUCGAGCGAACAGACGAGGAGCUUGCUCCUCUGACGUUAGCGGCGGACGGGUGAGUAACACGUGGAUAACCUACCUAUAAGACUGGGAUAACUUCGGGAAACCGGAGCUAAUACCGGAUAAUAUAUUGAACCGCAUGGUUCAAUAGUGAAAGACGGUUUUGCUGUCACUUAUAGAUGGAUCCGCGCCGCAUUAGCUAGUUGGUAAGGUAACGGCUUACCAAGGCGACGAUGCGUAGCCGACCUGAGAGGGUGGUCGGCCACACUGGAACUGAGACACGGUCCAGACUCCUACGGGAGGCAGCAGUAGGGAAUCUUCCGCAAUGGGCGAAAGCCUGACGGAGCAACGCCGCGUGAGUGAUGAAGGUCUUCGGAUCGUAAAACUCUGUUAUUAGGGAAGAACAAAUGUGUAAGUAACUAUGCACGUCUUGACGGUACCUAAUCAGAAAGCCACGGCUAACUACGUG
This 496-nucleotide ribosomal RNA is filed under the name uncultured bacterium. RNAcentral describes it as "partial 16S ribosomal RNA". It matches the Rfam family "Bacterial small subunit ribosomal RNA", at positions 29 to 507 of the family's 1533-position model. The record is from RNAcentral.